GGAGAGAUGGCCGAGCAGGCCGAAGGCGCUCCCCUGCUAAGGGAGUAUGGGCCAAAAGCCCAUCGAGGGUUCGAAUCCCUCUCUCUCCGCCA
RNAcentral lists this transfer RNA (92 nucleotides) under Methylomonas sp. RNAcentral's name for it is "tRNA-Ser". It matches the Rfam family "tRNA". From Rfam's summary of the family: Transfer RNA (tRNA) molecules are approximately 80 nucleotides in length. Their secondary structure includes four short double-helical elements and three loops (D, anti-codon, and T loops). Further hydrogen bonds mediate the characteristic L-shaped molecular structure. tRNAs have two regions of fundamental functional importance: the anti-codon, which is responsible for specific mRNA codon recognition, and the 3' end, to which the tRNAs corresponding amino acid is attached (by aminoacyl-tRNA synthetases). tRNAs cope with the degeneracy of the genetic code in two manners: having more than one tRNA (with a specific anti-codon) for a particular amino acid; and 'wobble' base-pairing, i.e. permitting non-standard base-pairing at the 3rd anti-codon position. RNAcentral also lists the same sequence under 1 other name. The record is from RNAcentral. Lineage: Bacteria; Pseudomonadati; Pseudomonadota; Gammaproteobacteria; Methylococcales; Methylococcaceae.